This 449-nucleotide ribosomal RNA is filed under the name uncultured bacterium. RNAcentral's name for it is "partial 16S ribosomal RNA". It matches the Rfam family "Bacterial small subunit ribosomal RNA", at positions 29 to 523 of the family's 1533-position model. The record is from RNAcentral.
AACGAACGCUGGCGGCAUGCCUAACACAUGCAAGUCGAACGAGAUCUUCGGGUCUAGUGGCGCACGGGUGCGUAACGCGUGGGAAUCUGCCCUUUGGUUCGGAAUAACAGUUGGAAACGACUGCUAAUACCGGAUGAUGACGAAAGUCCAAAGAUUUAUCGCCAGAGGAUGAGCCCGCGUAGGAUUAGCUAGUUGGUGUGGUAAAGGCGCACUAAGGCGACGAUCCUUAGCUGGUCUGAGAGGAUGAUCAGCCACACUGGGACUGAGACACGGCCCAGACUCCUACGGGAGGCAGAAGUGGGGAAUAAUGGACAAUGGGCGAAAGCCUGAUCCAGCAAUGCCGCGUGAGUGAUGAAGGCCUUAGGGUUGUAAAGCUCUUUUACCCGGGAUGAUAAUGACAGUACCGGGAGAAUAAGCUCCGGCUAACUCCGUGCCAGCCGCCGCCGUAA